GCGCAACCUAAUCAGCGCUGGUGUGCUGGGACCUGUCCAGCCAGGGCUCGACCGGCAGGAGCAUGACAAGUGCCAAAUAUGGAUUUUGCUUCUGAGCGGAGUUGGAAAUCAACCAAGAAAUUCCAAUUCACAUUCAUGACUCACAUUAUGUAAAUGUCAACAGGCAAUACGGCAUUGGCACAUUAGCAUUUGUAAAGGAGAGCUCCACCGCGAGAGGCCCUUUCUCACAGCGCCGGUAUGGAAAUGUGUGUUAUUGCAAAAACCCCGGUGAUGGAUUCUUGACCUCGGCUCAGGAGGAUUUCACAGUCUGUUUUGAGAAUGGAGGUAGAGCAACAUCGGGGAGAGAGACGUAAGGUCACUGCUUUAGCAUUUAUUAUGCGCCUCUGCCAGAAAACACAACUCUUUUAGCUUUCCUAAACAUAGCUUGGCUGGACACAGGCUGACAACUUUACUUAGGAGACGGAACCUAAACAGAUUUGUUAAUGCAGCUGCUGAAAAGUGUCCCAUUUACAGCCGCUCCUCUGUGCCUCUGCUUUUCCCUUUUCUUUUUUGUACUCGCCUUUUCUUUCUUUAACAGAAGGAAAAUGGAAACCCGAACAACAUCUUAAAAAUACCCCAUGCUUCCAGGUACACUUUCAAGUGGAUGUUGUACAAUGUCGAGAAUGUAGCAGGCAAGAGACACUUACUGUAAUGUUUUCAGGGGUUUAUAUUCUAAACAGGAGCAUUUGUCAAGCAUGCUUGCAUCAUUCUGUAAUGUUUGUGGUCCUCGCCCUAAGACGUCCUUUGAGGCCUGCACGAGAUUGAAAAAAAGAGUAUUUCGUUGCAAGUUUCCCCCCCCCCCCCUCAUCAUGUUCCCAACUUAAUGGGGAAAUAGAAAACAAAAGACGACAUAUGUAAUUAUAGCGUGACUGAAGAGUAAACAUGUCUCGUGCGAGUGGGGCUACGCUUUCGGCAGCAGGCUAAUUGCAAUGUUCCCCUUCUACUGCAGCGACUGGGUUAUUUGAUAGCUGGCAGUCU
Syngnathoides biaculeatus (alligator pipefish) is the source of this 1017-nucleotide long non-coding RNA. RefSeq lists it as uncharacterized. The transcript is spliced from 3 exons. The record is from RefSeq and is a predicted model, not a curated record. Lineage: Eukaryota; Metazoa; Chordata; Actinopteri; Syngnathiformes; Syngnathidae.